This 203-nucleotide ribosomal RNA is filed under the name uncultured bacterium. Its description in RNAcentral is "partial 16S ribosomal RNA". It matches the Rfam family "Bacterial small subunit ribosomal RNA", at positions 1290 to 1500 of the family's 1533-position model. The record is from RNAcentral.
AGUUCGGAUUGGAGUCUGCAACCCGACUCCAUGAAGCUGGAUUCGCUAGUAAUCGCGCAUCAGCCACGGCGCGGUGAAUACGUUCCCGGGCCUUGUACACACCGCCCGUCAAGCCAUGGGAGCCGGGAGUGCCUGAAGUGCGCGGCCGCGAGGAGCGCCCUAGGGCAAGACCGGUGACUGGGGCUAAGUCGUAACAAGGUAGC